GAUGAACGCUGGCGGCGUGCCUAAUACAUGCAAGUCGAGCGAACAGACGAGGAGCUUGCUCCUCUGUCCUUCGCGGCGGACGGGUGAGUAACACGUGGAUAACCUACCUAUAAGACUUGGAUAACUUCGGCAAACCGGAGCUAAUACCGGAUAAUAUAUUGAACCGCAUGGUUCAAUACUUAACGCCGGUUUUGCUUCCGCUUAUAGAUGGAUCCGCGCCGCAUUAGCUAGUUGGUAAGGUAACGGCUUACCAAGGCAACGAUGCGUAGCCGACCUGAGAGGGUGAUCGGCCACACUGGAACUGAGACACGGUCCAGACUCCUACGGGAGGCAGCAGUAGGGAAUCUUCCGCAAUGGGCGAAAGCUUGACGGAGCAACGCCGCGUGAGUGAUGAAGGUCUUCGGAUCGUAAAACUCUGUUAUUAGGGAAGAACAAAUGUGUAAGUAACUAUGCACGUCUUGACGGUACCUAAUCAGAAAGCCACGGCUAACUACGUG
RNAcentral lists this ribosomal RNA (497 nucleotides) under uncultured bacterium. RNAcentral describes it as "partial 16S ribosomal RNA". It matches the Rfam family "Bacterial small subunit ribosomal RNA", at positions 28 to 507 of the family's 1533-position model. The record is from RNAcentral.